AAACAUUAGAAAGAACUUCCUCAGUAUCAGGGCAGUUUGACAGUGAAAUUCACUGCCUCGGAGAGUGGUGGAGUCUCCUUCUUUGGAGGUUUUUAAACUUAUGAGAUUAAAAAUUUUCGAUUCGAAAGCCUUUAUUGGCAUACGGAGAUUAAAAGUGAAUUAUUAAGAUACUGAUGAGGAUUAACUUUUUUUAAAAAUCUAUUUGAAUACCCUUUUUUGGGAAACCUUUAAUGGCAUUUCUUGAUAUAAAUGGGAUUGCCUCUGAUGAUCACCUGACAUUCAGAAGACCUGUUCAAUAUGUCGUUUGUAAUUUUAUAAUAAUCUCACAAUUCAGAGCACAUUUGACUGGACCAUUGGUCUGCAUGUUAUGGUCAUUUGUUAUUUUCAAGGUAUUCCCGGUGGAAUCUUUGCAUCGGGAUAGUAGCCAGCAAAGGUACCACCCUUACAGUUGCCUGUAAUGAAGAUCUGUCAUAAGACAAAGCCUGCAUUUUCUCCACUGGGGUGAAAAGCAGACUUGCCCAAUGCUGGCAAAACACCUCACAAGAAUGGGUUUCAAGUCAACCCGACUUACACUGUAUCCUGUUCUCUUUCAGAAUUCGGGGAGAUUUUGACGUGAUCACGAACCAGCUGAUCGGGGCGCAUGGAUACUGUACACAAGAGCUGGUAAAUCUGCUGCUGACGGGCAAAGCCGUGUCCAACGUUUUCAAUGACGUCGUCGAGCUGGACUCUGGCAACGGCAACACCACGGCUUUGAAAGGGAUCUCCGGUCGGAGCGACAUCGGCUUGCUGUCCCUGUUUGAGCACUAUGACGUCUGCCAGGUGGGCUGUUAUUUAAAGACCCCCAAGUUUCCCAUCUGGCUGGUCUGCAGCGAGAGUCACUUCAGCGUUCUCUUCGGCAC
Molecule: long non-coding RNA, 899 nt
Organism: Sphaerodactylus townsendi
Lineage: Eukaryota; Metazoa; Chordata; Lepidosauria; Squamata; Sphaerodactylidae
Exons: 3
Source: RefSeq, a predicted model, not a curated record